This 98-nucleotide small nuclear RNA is filed under the name Xenopus laevis (African clawed frog). RNAcentral's name for it is "U2 spliceosomal RNA". It matches the Rfam family "U2 spliceosomal RNA". From Rfam's summary of the family: U2 is a small nuclear RNA (snRNA) component of the spliceosome (involved in pre-mRNA splicing). The record is from Rfam by way of RNAcentral. Lineage: Eukaryota; Metazoa; Chordata; Amphibia; Anura; Pipidae.
UUACCUUCUCAGCGUUUUGGCUAAGAUCAAGUGUAGUAUCUGUAGCAUCCUAACUGGUAGAAUUUUAUUCUCACUUUUUGAAUGUCACUUCACUUUUU